AGACGUAGAGCGCAAGCGUUGUCCGGAUUUAUUGGGCGUAAAGAGCUCGUAGGCGGCCUGUCGCGUCAAUCGUGAAAUCCUGCGGCUUAACUGUGGGGUUGCGGUUGAUACGGGCGGGCUGGAGUGCGGUAGGGGAGACUGGAAUUCCUGGUGUAGCGGUGAAAUGCGCAGAUAUCAGGAGGAACACCGGUGGCGAAGGCGGGUCUCUGGGCCGUUACUGACGCUGAGGAGCGAAAGCGUGGGGAGCGAACAGGAUUAGAUACCCUGGUAGUCCAUGCUGUAAACGUUGGGCGCUAGGUGUGGGGACCCUUCCCGGGUUUCUGUGCCGUAGCUAACGCAUUAAGCGCCCCGCCUGGGGAGUACGGCCGCAAGGCUAAA
RNAcentral lists this ribosomal RNA (378 nucleotides) under uncultured bacterium. Its description in RNAcentral is "bacterial SSU rRNA". It matches the Rfam family "Bacterial small subunit ribosomal RNA", at positions 523 to 898 of the family's 1533-position model. The record is from RNAcentral.